GCAGUCGAACGGUGAUGAGGGGCUUGCUCCUCUGAUCAGUGGCGAACGGGUGAGUAACACGUGAGUAACCUGCCCUUCACUCUGGGAUAACGCUGGGAAACCGGUGCUAAUGCUGGAUAUGACCUGCUCGGGCAUCCGAUGUGGGUGGAAAGAUUUAUUGGUGGAGGAUGGACUCGCGGCCUAUCAGCUUGUUGGUGAGGUAAUGGCUCACCAAGGCGACGACGGGUAGCCGGCCUGAGAGGGCGAUCGGCCACACUGGGACUGAGACACGGCCCAGACUCCUACGGGAGGCAGCAGUGGGGAAUAUUGCACAAUGGGCGAAAGCCUGAUGCAGCGACGCCGCGUGAGGGAUGAAGGCCUUCGGGUUGUAAACCUCUUUCAGCAGGGAAGAAGCGUCUGGGUUUUCUUGGGUGUGACGGUACCUGCAGAAGAAGCACCGGCUAACUACGUGCCAGCAGCCGCGGUAAUACGUAGGGUGCAAGCGUUGUCCGGAAUUAUUGGGCGUAAAGAGCUUGUAGGCGGUUUGUCGCGUCUGCUGUGAAAUUUCGGGGCUCAACCCCGAACUUGCAGUGGGUACGGGCAGACUAGAGUGUGGUAGGGGAGACUGGAAUUCCUGGUGUAGCGGUGAAAUGCGCAGAUAUCAGGAGGAACACCGAUGGCGAAGGCAGGUCUCUGGGCCACUACUGACGCUGAGAAGCGAAAGCAUGGGGAGCGAACAGGAUUAGAUACCCUGGUAGAAUCACUAGUGAAUUC
Molecule: ribosomal RNA, 753 nt
Filed under: uncultured bacterium
Lineage: Bacteria
Description: bacterial SSU rRNA
Rfam family: Bacterial small subunit ribosomal RNA
Source: RNAcentral